Molecule: ribosomal RNA, 253 nt
Filed under: uncultured prokaryote
Description: partial 16S ribosomal RNA
Rfam family: Bacterial small subunit ribosomal RNA
Source: RNAcentral
UACGAAGGGUGCUAGCGUUGUUCGGAAUUACUGGGCGUAAAGCGCGCGUAGGCGGUCUAUCAAGUCAGAGGUGAAAGCCCUGGGCUCAACCCAGGAAUUGCCUUUGAAACUGAUAGACUAGAGUGUCGGAGGGGAUAGCGGAAUUCCGAGUGUAGAGGUGAAAUUCGUAGAUAUUCGGAAGAACACCAGUGGCGAAGGCGACUUACUGGACACAUAUUGACGCUGAGGUGCGAAAGCGUGGGGAGCAAACAGG